This 1329-nucleotide long non-coding RNA is filed under the name Medicago truncatula (barrel medic). RNAcentral's name for it is "lncRNA gene43486". Lineage: Eukaryota; Viridiplantae; Streptophyta; Magnoliopsida; Fabales; Fabaceae. The record is from RNAcentral.
UUUUAGUGAAAAUUAUAAAAAUAAUAUUUCUAAGUGAAGUUCAAAAUAAGUAACUCAAGACCAGUUUUUUACAUGUAACUCUUGCAUAUCCUAAGCACUCCAUACCUUGAACCGCACACUGUUUCAAAUGUCUUUGCUGAUUCUCUACGUUUUUGUGUUUCCUUUUAAGGUUUUCUUCCACCUCAGUUGGUGGUGUUUUACUGUUGCUUUUAUUGCCUUGAGAGAGUCACCGCUAUUGCUACAGUUGUUUAUGAAGCUUCACUUGUAGCUAAUUAAGACAGUGAAACUGAUGCCUUGUUAGGGAAGAAAGCGAGCCUUGACAAUCAAAUCACAACUUCCCUGUCUUCUUGGAUUACCGGUACCAACCUGUACAUGGAAAGGAUUCAUUGUGAUCAAUCCCAGUCUAUUGCUACAGUUGUUUAUGAAGCUUCACUUGUAGCUAAUUAAGACAGUGAAGCUAAUGCCUUGUUUGGGCAGAAAGCGAGCCUUGACAAUCAAAUCACAAAUUCACUGUCUUCUUGGAUUAGUGGUACCAAUUCUUGUACAUGGAAAGGAUUCAAUGUGAUCAAUCCCCGUCUAUCAUCACAAUAAAGAUCUCAAGUAGCAUUGAAGCAGGUUGGCAGCCCAGAUUUAUAUGGUGGCGAUAACAUCAAACUAUUCACUUAUUGGACAGUGGAUUCUCAAUUCGAUUGCCCCAUUUUGUUCUUUCUUUUAAUUCAUUAUAAUAACUUGAUUAAUUACUUUGAUAGAUUGAUGCAUAUCAAGCAAUGGGAUGGUAUAACCUCCCUUGCUCUGGCUUUAUUCAAAUUAUCGAUAUAGGUCUGGGAGCAAGCAUCUUCCCACUUUCUAACCAUGCUUCUUCCCAAUAGGGAGUAUAACUUUAAGCAUCCUGGUAUGUGAGCACCAAGAACAUUUUGAGACCCACUCCCUGUAGAUGGUUGAAGACUAUGGAACCCACUUGAAGCCAUGCCACCACAGAGACCACACAGUUAAGCUUGUCAAAGAGAAAAGAAGAAACAGAGUUGCAAGGAAGAGGAGUCAAGGGGAAGCCGUCACAGGGAGGCUACCACGCACGUAAGGAGGAAAACACCCCUCAUGCAAUUCAUAACAUUUUUCCAAAACACGUUAUCCUUAACCGCCUUUUCCACAAUGAUCCCAUCUUUACUCUUUGCAAGUUUACCGGACUUCCACUCUUUCAAUGUGAACAUAAUAAUAAGUGCUCUAUAAUUGUAAUGCAAACACUCUAAUGUCAAGUAAGAUGCUGCAAAACGAGUCAUUGCAGGUUAAAUCAAAUAGUGUCUACAGUAAAUUUGUGCAAUAAAAGAAUAU